Molecule: long non-coding RNA, 97 nt
Organism: Strigops habroptila (Kakapo)
Lineage: Eukaryota; Metazoa; Chordata; Aves; Psittaciformes; Psittacidae
Exons: 3
Source: RefSeq, a predicted model, not a curated record
UCCCUGGUCAUUGCAGAGGGUUUGGACUAGAUGACUUUUGAAAGUCCCUUCCAACCCAAAUUAUUCUAUGAUUCUAUGUUUUGUCAAUGAAUUUAAG